CCUUAUUUGUUCCUAUUUGUAAAUCUCUUGUCUGAUAUAACUGUGUUUGCUAUAUUAUACUCCUGCUGGUUGUUGGGAGGUCUGAAGGAAGUAGAAAGGGAAGUAUUAGUUAGACUGAAGAAUCUUUAGUUAGUUGCCGCUUACGGUUUAGCUUGUUUAUAAGCUUUGAUAUUUUCUGGAGGAAGUUCUAGGAUUGCCUCCGGCUUUCCUCUAUUAUUAUGUAUUAUAUAUGUGGAAGCUGUUACCGUACUGGGGACCUCUGGUUCUCACCCAUGCGGAUUUUGUGGUUUUCAGAUGCAGGACGCGAGGCUUCUCGUUGAGGCAUGCUGGGGACUUCUGGAUUAGCGAAGAUUCUUGUUCUCGGGACUCUAUCUUGAUUUAUAUAUCUUAUUUAGAUACUUUUAUCUCCAUUAAAUAAUACAAACUGUGAUGACUCCUUCUAGAGGGGAUUUUGGAGAUUAGGUUUUCGG
Molecule: long non-coding RNA, 470 nt
Filed under: Arachis ipaensis
Lineage: Eukaryota; Viridiplantae; Streptophyta; Magnoliopsida; Fabales; Fabaceae
Description: long non-coding RNA (AIPA_LNC002242)
Source: RNAcentral